UACGGGGGGGGCAAGCGUUGUUCGGAAUUACUGGGCGUAAAGGGCUCGUAGGCGGCCAACUAAGUCAGACGUGAAAUCCCUCGGCUUAACCGGGGAACUGCGUCUGAUACUGGAUGGCUUGAAUCCGGGAGAGGGAUGCGGAAUUCCAGGUGUAGCGGUGAAAUGCGUAGAUAUCGGGAGGAACACCAGUGGCGAAGGCGGCUACCUGGACCAGCACUGACACUGAGGCACGAAAGCGUGGGGAGCAAACAGG
Molecule: ribosomal RNA, 253 nt
Filed under: uncultured bacterium
Lineage: Bacteria
Description: partial 16S ribosomal RNA
Rfam family: Bacterial small subunit ribosomal RNA
Source: RNAcentral